This 44-nucleotide non-coding RNA is filed under the name Schistosoma curassoni. The record is from RNAcentral. Lineage: Eukaryota; Metazoa; Platyhelminthes; Trematoda; Strigeidida; Schistosomatidae.
AUCUAGCUGACGAGUCCCAAAUAGGAUGAAACGUACGUCUUGAU